RNAcentral lists this long non-coding RNA (328 nucleotides) under Marmota monax (woodchuck). Lineage: Eukaryota; Metazoa; Chordata; Mammalia; Rodentia; Sciuridae. The record is from RNAcentral.
GGUGGUUCCAUUCCCACCUUUCCCAGGAAUCUCCAUACUGCUUUCCAAAUUGGCCGCACCAGUUUGCAGUCCCACCAGCAAUGUGCAAGAGUACCCUUUUCCCCACAUCCUCACCAGCACUUGUUGUUGUUUGACUUCAUAAUGGCUGCCAAUCUUACUGGAGUGAGAUGGUAUCUAAGAGUUAAUAACAAGAAUCAACAAAUGGGACUUACUUAAACUGAAAAGUUUUUUUCUCAGCAAGAGAAACAAUAAGAGAGGUAAAUAGGGAGCCUACAUCAUGGGAACAAAUUUUUACUCCUCACACUUCAGAUAGAGCCCUAAUAUCCAG